RNAcentral lists this long non-coding RNA (252 nucleotides) under Cyanistes caeruleus (blue tit). Its description in RNAcentral is "lncRNA (ENSCCEG00000019755.1)". The record is from RNAcentral. Lineage: Eukaryota; Metazoa; Chordata; Aves; Passeriformes; Paridae.
CUAUUAUCAUGCUGAAAGAAAAGGGAAAGAGCUGAGAACCAGGUAUAGCUUUUAAAAAACAGAAGAGGAAGAAGAAAGCAAAUCUGAAAAGAUGCUGAAGAGUAUGUGUUACAGGCAACUCAGCAAGGAAAAACUUCAGACUGAAUUUUAUUAAGUAAAAUGGAUAUGGUAAGUACCAUGAUCAUUAGGGAUGGAUUUUGGAUACAAAUACAGGUGUAUUAACAUGUAAAUGUUCCAAUUUAAUACAAUCAG